This 1334-nucleotide long non-coding RNA is filed under the name Panax ginseng (ginseng). Its description in RNAcentral is "long non-coding RNA (PGIN_LNC000845)". Lineage: Eukaryota; Viridiplantae; Streptophyta; Magnoliopsida; Apiales; Araliaceae. The record is from RNAcentral.
GAGUCUCACAAUUUGCUUAUCAGCGAAUCUGUUUAGGUCAGGAGUAGAUAGCCAUAAGUUUCUAGUUGUUAACUAGUUAUUAAAUGGUCACCUGGCAAAAGUUCUCCACUACUUGGAUCCAAUAUUGCACAUAAAUUUAACUAAUUUCAAGAAUUAUAUAGCUUAGUAAUGUACUUUAAAGUCUACAGAUAUGUUCCACAACCAUUUUUGUAUAAUGGCACACUUCUAUACAAACUUUUAUCAGUUCUACAUCUCCUCUUUCCAAUUUACGUACUUCAGCUUUAUUUCUCCUCCAAAAUCUGGUUUGAAAUGAUUACCAAGUACUUUUCCCAACAUUCUAUCAAUAUAGACUUAUAGAUACAGAUACUUGAACUUAUAGCUAUGAAAUAGACUACAAAAAUUUCACAAAGCAAAAGUUCAUUGGUGUUUAAGAUAGAAAACACAUACAACCAGACUCGCUAUAUAUAUACUAUCACAACAUUACCAUACAUAUGGCUAAACGAAGGAGGUAACAAGACUAAACGAACGAGAUAAGCAGAAACAACUGUUAUAAAUAACAACUUUGAUCCUCAAUAAUUGCUAGCUGCCAACGAUUAAGCCCAAAAAUAUGUAGAUAAGCUUAUUAUAAGACAUACCUUGAAGCCCUUCAGAUCAGAAUCUGUGACAUCUACCACUUCAAUCAUCUCCUUUGUUGAUCAUUCUUUUUGCGUUGCUGGUCAUCGACAUUUUGGCCACAGUUAUAAACAAAAUUUACCCUCAUCAUCCCCAAAUAAGCUGCGCUUGAGCUUUUCCUCAGCCGUUCGUCCACCCUUCCCACUUCUAUCAAACUCAUCAUAAACAAGUAGUUAAAAAUUAUUACUACAAACUGUUUAGGAUCAGGCCAGGCCAUUUUACUAAAUUUCUUAAUAGCAAUCCACCUCCGAUUCUGCAGCCGACCCUUGUAUACCACAUUUGGGGCUUUUUCGCCACUCUCAGAAAUAAUAAACUCCGGGCUGAAAUUGUUGGUGGCAGCUUUCAGUCGACGAAAUUAUGAAUCGGAGUCUCCGAAGCCACGUCCCAGUACUUGACAACGACAUCGUCGACGCCGGAGAGGAGGUGAAGCUUAUCGAAGACUUGAACCAGAUCUGAGUGGGAUCCGGCGGCGAGUAGGCGUUCGUUCGAGCGGAAAGAGGCGGAUGUGGCUGUAUCUUUGAAGGCGGAGAUGGUGGAUUUGGGUGUUAGGCUUGGAGACGGUUGCGGAGUGAGUGGCGGCGAAGUGGUGAGGAGAAGUUGGCGAGAACGAGAGAGAAGUGGAUGGAGAAAGUACAGAGAUAGAGAUAGGAGAGAGAAGAAAU